Canis lupus familiaris (dog) is the source of this 100-nucleotide non-coding RNA. Lineage: Eukaryota; Metazoa; Chordata; Mammalia; Carnivora; Canidae. The record is from Rfam.
GCUUGCUUCAGCCAAUAGAUACUAAAAUUGGAAUGAUAUAGAGAUUAACAUGGCCCCUGCAAAGGAUGACAUGCAAAUUUAUGAAGCACUCCAUUUUUCU